AUGAGUUAAGUAUAAACCCCUUUACAAGUAUCAAUUGGAGGGCAAGUCUGGUGCCAGCAGCCGCGGUAAUUCCAGCUCCAAUAGCGUAUAUUAAAGUUGUUGCAGUUAAAAAGCUCGUAGUUGGAUUUCUGUUAAUAAUUUAUAUAAUAUUUUAACGAUAUUAUGUAAUAUUAACAUAAUUCAUAUUACUAUAUUAUUUUAGUAUAUGAAAUUUUACUUUGAGAAAAUUAGAGUGCUUAAAGCAGGCAUUUGCCUUGAAUACUCCAGCAUGGAAUAAUAUAAAAGAUUUUUAUCUUUUUUAUUGGUUCUAAGAUAAAAAUAAUGAUUAAUAGGGACAGUUGGGGGCAUUUGUAUUUAACAGUCAGAGGUGAAAUUCUUAGAUUUGUUAAAGACAAACUAGUGCGAAAGCAUUUGCCAAGGAUGUUUUCAUUAAUCAAGAACGAAAGUUAGGGGAUCGAAGACGAUCAGAUACCGUCGUAGU
Molecule: ribosomal RNA, 481 nt
Filed under: Cryptosporidium microti
Lineage: Eukaryota; Apicomplexa; Conoidasida; Eucoccidiorida; Cryptosporidiidae
Also listed under: 3 other names
Description: SSU rRNA
Rfam family: Eukaryotic small subunit ribosomal RNA
Source: RNAcentral